Molecule: ribosomal RNA, 206 nt
Filed under: uncultured bacterium
Lineage: Bacteria
Description: partial 16S ribosomal RNA
Rfam family: Bacterial small subunit ribosomal RNA
Source: RNAcentral
CGUGUAGGCGGUUUGUACAGUCAGAUGUGAAAUCCCCGGGCUUAACCUGGGAGCUGCAUUUGAGACGUGCAGACUAGAGUGUGAGAGAGGGUUGUGGAAUUCCCAGUGUAGAGGUGAAAUUCGUAGAUAUUGGGAAGAACACCGGUGGCGAAGGUGGCAACCUGGCUCAUUACUGACGCUGAGGCGCGAAAGCGUGGGAGCAAACA